Molecule: ribosomal RNA, 497 nt
Filed under: uncultured bacterium
Lineage: Bacteria
Description: partial 16S ribosomal RNA
Rfam family: Bacterial small subunit ribosomal RNA
Source: RNAcentral
GACGAACGCUGGCGGCGUGCCUAAUACAUGCAAGUCGAGCGCUGAAGCGUGGUACUUGUACCUACUGCAUUAGCAGCGAACGGGUGAGUAACGCGUGGGUAACCUGCCUUUGAGCGGGGGACAACUUUUGGAAACGAAUGCUAAUACCGCAUAAAAUCUUUAAACACAAGUUUCAAGUGUGAAAGAUGCAUUUGCAUUACCCAAUGAUGAUAUCGCGUCGUAUUAGCCAGGUGGUGAGGUAAAGGCUCACCAAGGCGAUGAUACAUAGCCGACCUGAGAGGGUGGUCGGCCAACAUGGGACUGGGAAACGGCCCAAGACUCCUCGGGGAGGAGCAGGAAGGAAUCUUUGGGCAAGGGGGGAAGGCUGAACGGAGAACGGCGGGUGGGUGGAGGAGGUUUUCCGAUCGUAAAAACCUGUUGGUAGGGAAGAAAGUAAGUGAGAAGGGAAUACGCACCAAGUGACGGUAACUAAUCAGAAAGGCACGGCUAACUACGUG